GACGAACGCUGGCGGCGUGCUUAACACAUGCAAGUCGAACGGAAAGGCCCUGCUUUUGUGGGGUGCUCGAGUGGCGAACGGGUGAGUAACACGUGAGUAACCUGCCCUUGACUUUGGGAUAACUUCAGGAAACUGGGGCUAAUACCGGAUAGGAGCUCCUGCUGCAUGGUGGGGGUUGGAAAGUUUCGGCGGUUGGGGAUGGACUCGCGGCUUAUCAGCUUGUUGGUGGGGUAGUGGCUUACCAAGGCUUUGACGGGUAGCCGGCCUGAGGGGGUGACCGGCCACAUUGGGACUGAGAUACGGCCCAGACUCCUACGGGAGGCAGCAGUGGGGAAGAUUGCACAAUGGGCGGAAGCCUGAUGCAGCAACGCCGCGUGCGGGAUGACGGCCUUCGGGUUGUAAACCGAUUUCGCCUGUGACGAAGCGUGAGUGACGGUAAUGGGUAAAGAAGCACCGGCUAACUACGUG
Molecule: ribosomal RNA, 468 nt
Filed under: uncultured bacterium
Lineage: Bacteria
Description: partial 16S ribosomal RNA
Rfam family: Bacterial small subunit ribosomal RNA
Source: RNAcentral